Molecule: long non-coding RNA, 554 nt
Organism: Myotis lucifugus (little brown bat)
Lineage: Eukaryota; Metazoa; Chordata; Mammalia; Chiroptera; Vespertilionidae
Exons: 3
Source: RefSeq, a predicted model, not a curated record
ACGAUAUCUGCAUUCCACUGGAGUGAUCGGGCAGAGGCUCAAGGGGAGGCCAUGAAGGCAGUGCUGAUCCCAAUUCGAGAGACUAUGACCCCAGAAUCGGAUGUCUCCAUUGCACACAUCCUGGCUGCCCGAGCUGAUCUGUCUCGUCUUGUUCCAGCCACAAGCAAGGCUGCCCGCCGAGGGACCAUCUGUGCCAUCAACAAGGUGCUUAUGGGCAAUGUGCCAGACCGAGGGGGACGUCCAAAUGAGUUGGAGGCUCCUAUGCCCAGCUGGCAGAGCAGAAGAGAGAAUGGAGGCGGGUGGAAGGCAGGCCGCCACUGCUGGGGCGAUAAGAAGAAGAAGAAGAAGAAGAAAUAAAGGGGGACUGGGUCCUCUAUGAGAUGCUGAUACCAUUGGUAAUCUCUGGGAAGUCAAUUUGAGGGUGUUUCUUGGCACCUGGCACCCAGGCGCCACAUCUCCUAUUCCUGAGGCCCUAAUUUUCCCCCCCUCUCCCCCACAUCCACCAUUUAACAUCAAGGACCAUGUUCUCUGGAAAAUAAAUUUAAUUUAUGACA